CAGUGUUCAUGCAGACAUAUGUUGGGGGAGUGUCAUGCCCAUACAUAUGCUCAAAGAGGUUGGACCAUGGAGUGUUACUGGUGGGGUAUGGUUCAGCAGGCUACGCUCCCAUCCGGAUGAAGGACAAGCCUUACUGGAUCAUAAAAAACUCAUGGGGUGAGAACUGGGGAGAGAAUGGAUUCUACAAAAUCUGCAGGGGUCGCAAUGUGUGUGGUGUGGACUCCAUGGUCUCAACCGUGGCUGCUGUGCAUACCACCUCAAAUUAGGUGAAAGGUAGGGUUUGAACUCUGAACUGUAUUUUAAUUGUUGAAUCAGACGGUGAUUAUUGUAUAUAAGCUCAAGGAGCGUGGGCAUAAUU
This 358-nucleotide long non-coding RNA is filed under the name Vitis vinifera (wine grape). RNAcentral's name for it is "long non-coding RNA (VVIN_LNC000593)". The record is from RNAcentral. Lineage: Eukaryota; Viridiplantae; Streptophyta; Magnoliopsida; Vitales; Vitaceae.